Molecule: ribosomal RNA, 467 nt
Filed under: uncultured bacterium
Lineage: Bacteria
Description: partial 16S ribosomal RNA
Rfam family: Bacterial small subunit ribosomal RNA
Source: RNAcentral
GACGAACGCUGGCGGCGUGCUUAACACAUGCAAGUCGAACGGUAAGGCUGCAGCUUGCUGGAGUACUCGAGUGGCGCACGGGUGAGUAACACGUGGGUAAUCUGCCCUGCACUCUGGGAUAAGCCUGGGAGACUGGGUCUAAUACUGGAUAUGAGUUUUCUCCUUAUGGGGUUUGGUGGACAGUUGUUCGUUGUUGGAUGAUCCCGCGGCCUCUCAUCUUGUUGUUGGGGUGAUGGCGUACCAACGCGACGACGGGUAGCCGGCCUGAGAGGGUGGUCGGCCACAUUGGGACUGAGAUACGGCCCAGACUCCUACGGGAGGCAGCAGUGGGGAAUAUUGCACAAUGGGCGGAAGCCUGAUGCAGCGACGCCGCGUGAUGGAUGACGGCCUUCGGGUUGUAAACCUCUUUCAGCAGGGAAGAAGCGAAAGUGACGGUACCUGCAGAAAAAGCACCGGCUAACUACGUG